UUUGAUCUUGGCUGGCUGAUACCAUGUGAUAAUGUUCAUUUUUAGUAUGGGGAGCACGCAGUUCACUGUAAAGAGCUCUCUGGGUUUAAAUAUCGGCAUGACUGGGUGCGAGAUGUUUUGGGAGACAUCCUAAGAAGAGCUGGGAUUUCUGCUAAGAAAGAGUCCCCUGUGAAUUUCCUCACGGGCCCUAUGGAAGGGAUAUCUACUCUGCGACCAGCGGAUCUGCUCGUCUU
Molecule: long non-coding RNA, 233 nt
Filed under: Helianthus annuus (common sunflower)
Lineage: Eukaryota; Viridiplantae; Streptophyta; Magnoliopsida; Asterales; Asteraceae
Description: sRNA HanXRQr2_Chr09g0364951
Source: RNAcentral